GAUUGAACGCUGGCGGCAGGCCUAACCCAUGAAAGUCGACCGGUAACAGGGAUCAGCUUGCUGAUUCGCUGACGAGUGGCGGACGGGUGAGUAAUGUCUGGGAAACUGCCUGAUGGAGGGGGCUAACUACUGGAAACGGUAGCUAAUACCGCAUAAAGUCGCAAGACUAAAGAGGGGGACCUUCGGGCCUCUUGCCAUCGGAUGUGCUCAGAUGGGAUUAGCUAGUAGGUGGGGUAACGGCUCACCUAGGCGACGAUCCCUAGCUGGUCUGAGAGGAUGACCAGCCACACGGGAACUGAGACACGGUCCAGACACCUACGGGAGGCAGCAGUGGGGAAUAUUGCACAAUGGGCGCAAGCCUGAUGCAGCCAUGCCGCGUGUAUGAAGAAGGCCUUCGGGUUGUAAAGUACUUUCAGCGGGGAGGAAGGGAGUAAAGUUAAUACCUUUGCUCAUUGACGUUACCCGCAGAAGAAGCACCGGCUAACUCCGUG
Molecule: ribosomal RNA, 491 nt
Filed under: uncultured bacterium
Lineage: Bacteria
Description: partial 16S ribosomal RNA
Rfam family: Bacterial small subunit ribosomal RNA
Source: RNAcentral